RNAcentral lists this ribosomal RNA (270 nucleotides) under uncultured Planctomycetota bacterium. Its description in RNAcentral is "uncultured planctomycete partial 16S ribosomal RNA". It matches the Rfam family "Bacterial small subunit ribosomal RNA", at positions 565 to 832 of the family's 1533-position model. The record is from RNAcentral. Lineage: Bacteria; Pseudomonadati; Planctomycetota.
GAGCACGUAGGUGGGUUUAGUAAGUCAAAUGUGAAAGCCUCCUGUUCAACGGGAGAAUUGCAUCUGAAACUACUGAUCUUGAGUGUAGGAGGGGAGAAUGGAACUUCUGGUGGAGCGGUGAAAUGCGUAGAUAUCAGAAGGAACGCCGGCGGCGAAAGCGAUUCUCUGGCCUAUUACUGACACUCAGUGUGCGAAAGCUAGGGGAGCAAACGGGAUUAGAUACCCCGGUAGUCCUAGCCGUAAACGAUGGGCACUAAGUAGAGGGGUUUU